ACUCGUAGACUCCUACGGGAGGCAGCAGUGGGGGAAUAUUGCACAAUGGGCGGAANCCUGAUGCAGCAACGCCGCGUGCGGGAUGACGGCCUUCGGGUUGUAAACCGCUUCGCCUGUGACGAAGCGUGAGUGACGGUAACUGGGUAAAGAAGCACCGGCUAACUACGUGCCAGCAGCCGCGGUGAUACGUAGGGUGCGAGCGUUGUCCGGAUUUAUUGGGCGUAAAGGGCUCGUAGGUGGUUGAUCGCGUCGGAAGUGUAAUCUUGGGGCUUAACCCUGAGCGUGCUUUCGAUACGGGUUGACUUGAGGAAGGUAGGGGAGAAUGGAAUUCCUGGUGGAGCGGUGGAAUGCGCAGAUAUCAGGAGGAACACCAGUGGCGAAGGCGGUUCUCUGGGCCUUUCCUGACGCUGAGGAGCGAAAGCGUGGGGAGCGAACAGGCUUAGAUACCCUGGUAG
This 455-nucleotide ribosomal RNA is filed under the name uncultured bacterium. RNAcentral describes it as "bacterial SSU rRNA". It matches the Rfam family "Bacterial small subunit ribosomal RNA", at positions 327 to 793 of the family's 1533-position model. The record is from RNAcentral.